UACGUAGGUGGCAAGCGUUGCCCGGAAUUAUUGGGCGUAAAGCGCGCGCAGGCGGCCUCUUAAGUCUGAUGUGAAAGCCCCCGGCUCAACCGGGGAGGGCCAUUGGAAACUGGGAGGCUUGAGUAUAGGAGAGAAGAGUGGAAUUCCACGUGUAGCGGUGAAAUGCGUAGAGAUGUGGAGGAACACCAGUGGCGAAGGCGACUCUUUGGCCUAUAACUGACGCUGAGGCGCGAAAGCGUGGGGAGCAAACAGG
RNAcentral lists this ribosomal RNA (253 nucleotides) under uncultured bacterium. RNAcentral describes it as "partial 16S ribosomal RNA". It matches the Rfam family "Bacterial small subunit ribosomal RNA", at positions 524 to 776 of the family's 1533-position model. The record is from RNAcentral.